Small nucleolar RNA from Cornus florida, 88 nucleotides. RefSeq annotates it as small nucleolar RNA snR60/Z15/Z230/Z193/J17. The record is from RefSeq and is a predicted model, not a curated record. Lineage: Eukaryota; Viridiplantae; Streptophyta; Magnoliopsida; Cornales; Cornaceae. The transcript has a single exon.
UGUGGUCAUGUGAUGAAUAGCAUAGUUCAACUGAUAAUCUUUGUGAUUAUAAAAUUUGAAUGUCUUUCGCUCCUAUCUGAUGACCACC